CUACGGAGGGUGCAAGCGUUACUCGGAAUCACUGGGCGUAAAGCGCGCGCAGGCGGGCUGAUAAGUUGGAUGUGAAAACCUACGGCUCAACCGUAGAACUGCAUCCAAAACUGUCAGUCUAGAGUCUGGGAGGGGAAGAUGGAAUUAGUUGUGUAGGGGUAAAAUCCGUAGAGAUAACUAGGAAUACCAAAAGCGAAGGCGAUCUUCUGGAACAGUACUGACGCUGAGGCGCGAAAGCGUGGGGAGCAAACAGGAUUAGAAACCCUAGUAGUCC
This 274-nucleotide ribosomal RNA is filed under the name uncultured bacterium. RNAcentral's name for it is "partial 16S ribosomal RNA". It matches the Rfam family "Bacterial small subunit ribosomal RNA", at positions 523 to 796 of the family's 1533-position model. The record is from RNAcentral.